Molecule: long non-coding RNA, 4285 nt
Organism: Malus domestica (apple)
Lineage: Eukaryota; Viridiplantae; Streptophyta; Magnoliopsida; Rosales; Rosaceae
Source: RefSeq, a predicted model, not a curated record
AAAAGACUUGAGUACUUGGAUCUAACGGAGGACAUGACACAAAACCGAGCGCAAUGGCGUUCUAGGAUUCAUAUAGCCGACCCCACAUAGUGGGAAAAUGCUUUGUUGUUGUUGUUGUUGUUGGUUGUAGGAUUAGAGAUCGAAUAGGAAGUCUUGUUGAGAAUGGAUUUGUAAAUCCAUGUUGUAACUGGACUGCUAUUUGAAAUGAAUUGGUAUUCCAUAUGGAUUUUAAUAGGGGAAUCCUUAUAGAAUUUGGCUAAGAUUGUAUAGUAUAUAUAUGGUGGCCUCUGCUCUCGCGAUGUGGACUCAAUACAAGACUAAGACCUAUUAUUAGUUGAGAACCUUGAACACUGAAGAGAUGCACUGCAACAUUGUUACAGAAAUCAGACAUGGCAGCCGGUUCAAGUUCAUCUACAGGUACGGUUUUCUCCAUACAUUGGUUUAAUGAACAUUGAUUUGUGUUUUGACAACAGUAGCUCAUAUAACUUGUUAUUGGUUUAUGUUUAAUUCUAACAUGUGGUAUCAGAGCUAGGGAUUAUAAGUUUAUGAGUUCUGUGAUUAAAACCAAUAGGUUCAAAAGCCUGAAUAAUAUUUAAGUAAAUAUACCAUUAUUGCGGGAUUGGGGAAUCGAACACGGGUUUUGGCAUAUAGGUUUCAAAUAACGACAAAACCAAAGGAAAAUUUUGACCAUUGUAUAAUUAAAAGCUGGUGACCGUUGAUUUUCCUGCAAACCCAUUGGUAAGGGCCUUCUUUUCCAAUUUGGGGUUUUCUGGGGAAAGAUAACUUUUUCGAUUGCUCUCUUUCUUGUCUUCAACUCUGUGUUUGAAGAAAGGAUCUGGGAAUUAAGAAACAAAUCCAUAUUAAAUAUUAAGUUUCCGCUGCACGAUAUGGGUUUUCAUAUUCAAGGUAUGUAUUCUGAAACUCGGAGAAGAAGCAUGAAAAAGUAAAAUUCAAUUCUGUUUGAAUCCUUCUAUUUGAUAAGUUCGAUUAGAAUAACAUGUGUCAGAUUGAUUGAUUCAAAUCAGAUAACAUGCAUCUUAAAGUUAAAGGCUAUAAUUUUCCAAUAUCUCGCAAAGUCAUGAUCUUCUGAUUCUAAUGAUCGUUUUAUUUUGAUAUUACAUCAUUAUGCAUGAGACAUCUAUUGGUUGUCUAUUGUUGCAUAUUUCUCCACUGAAUCUGCAGGUGCAUUUGCUGAAUUUGACGCAAAGCCAGAAGGCUGAUCAGAACAGUAGCGGUGCCGAAGGCCAUCGAGUGACAGUGGAAGAAAAGAAGCUUAUGAAUGGCAAUGGAUCAUCACUAGUGGUGCCGAGGCAGUUCAUGGAUCUUGGGUUAGCUGCUAAAAAUGGUGACGCUGAUGAGCAUUCAUAGUCUUCGUCUGAUGAACGAAGUCAUGGCGAACGGUUUGGAUCGCUUGGAGAUAAUGUGAAGGCUGCAGGGCACAGUGAUGACCAAAGGAUCGGUUUUGAUCACGAAAAGAAGGAUUUCGGGAGACGAAUUGGGAGAGAGGAGAGCCCAGAUCAGCCGUCACAGAGUUGGGGGCUUAACAAAGUUCCGAGGCUCAAUUCUCCGAAAGAGGUUGGUCAAACUGAGGCUACAAUGAGGAAGUUUUUGUUUGAUGCUUUGGAAACAGUUUGGUUGUUUUAAGCUUAUGAUUAGUUAAUCGUUUUAAGUCAAUGUUAUGUUGCUUUCCUAUAAGAUCGAUUUAUGUUUUGGUCUUUUUGAAAAGUGGGAGCAUAUUAUGUGAUUGACUGUUUAAUAUCAGUUUAUGUUAUGAGUCAUAUUUGCAGUCUGGAUGUGUGUGAACUUAGAAUCAAUACUGCAUUUUGGUUGUGGUUUAUGAUUCUCUGUUUCCAUGUUUUGGAGUGUAAUAGAAUGAUGGUCAUAAAGAUGGAUUCUCAGGUGAGGCUCUGUGGUCACUUCUUAUAAAUUGGAGAAGUUCAUGUCUGAAACUGAUCUCAUGUUCAAGUGGGAGAAAAAUGUAAGAAAAUGAACAUGAGAUUGGGUGUUUUUGACGGUGAAUGGUUAAGUCCAAUUAGAAUAAGAAAGCCUUAUGAGAAGCUGUGAACAAAUCCUUAUUUUUGAAGGAUUCUGUUAAAAAUAUUUGAACUGAUAUGGCUUGGAAAACAUAAGUUGUUUUCUAUAAGGAUUGUAAUAGGAAAUCCUUGUCAAGUUAUAAGAAGGAUAAAUAUGUGUUUUGGAUUCAGUUUGAUGCUUGAGAAUCUUUGUGAUUUGACUUGAGCAGUUGGUUGAAUUCAUAUAUUGGUAAUUCUUUAUAUUGGAAUGAAUUACUAGUUGAUAGUUUUACUAUCUGUUGGACUUAAUUGUUUCGAAUUAAGUUAAUGAAUAGUGGGAGUGGAUAUUAAGGUCCACUGAUGUCAGUUUGGUCAUAAUGUUAUAAGUGCAAAUUGAACAUAUGUGAUUUGAAGUUAGCAUUUACAUAUAUGUUGUAAUUGACAGCUUUUGGUCCUGUGUUUUGAAAUGCACGGAUAGAUUGUUUAUGAUGUUACUCAAAAGACUUUGUGAUCAACCUAUUAUAGUCUUAAUCGAACUAGUUUUCUUGGUUCAUACUUGCUCAAGUGGGAGAAUGUUAGAAUAUGAGCAUGAGUAUGAAUCGGUAAACUUGGUUGUAGGAUUAGAGAUUGAAUAGGAAGUCUUGUUGAGAAUGGAUUUGUAAAUCCAUGUUGUAACUGGACUGCUAUUUGGAAUGAAUUGGUAUUCCAUAUGGAUUUUAAUAGGGGAAUCCUUAUAGAAUUUGGCUAAGAUUGUAUAGUAUAUAUAUGGUGGCCUCUGCUCUCGCAAUGUGGACUCAAUACAAGACUAAGACCUAUUAUUAGUUGAGAACCUUGAACACUGAAGAGAUACACUGCAACAUUGUUACAGAAUCAGACAUGGCAGCCGGUUCAAGUUCAUCUACAGAAGAAAGCUGGGCCUUUUGGUACCGUCAAAGGCUUACUAACCAACCCCAGUGUUCUUCCGGAUGAAUCUGUGAAUCCGAGAUUGGCAAAGAUUUUGGAGAAAGUUGCUGUUAAUAGAGAACUUAUAGUUGCUCUUGCAAACUCGAAUGUGAAGGAAAUGUUGGAGGUAUGGUUCGCUAACAUCAAUAGGGUGGGCAUAUCCAAUUAUCUGGUUGUUGCUUUGGAUGAUGAAAUUGCCAGAUUCUGCGAAUUGAAAAAUGUUCCAGUUUAUAAGAGAGACCCAAACAAAGUAAUUGAUUCGGUUGCAAGUGUUAGAUGACGUCAUCAUGCUCAGCGCAUCACCGAAACUUGUGGAGUUUGACUUGGUUCAAACUCCUAUCCUUUCAGCUGUUCCUAGUUUAUAGGACUGUUUAGUUAUUUGAUUUUCUGCUGUAAUCUGAACCUGUGGUUGUAAUCCUUUUCUUGGUUUCUGAUUGUAUUUUUGAAUUUCGAAAGCUCCUUGUAUCUAGGGUUUUCAAACCCAAUCUGUAAUCAUGAAAGUAUUAUGAAUACAUGCAUCCCACAAUGGAUUGGGUAUGCAAUUGAAGUGAAACAUUGAACUAGUAAGUUUAACAGCGAGGACCGGAGGGAACCAUGCUGUCUCUGGGCUAAAAUUUCGUGUUCUGAGGGAGUUUUUGCAGCUUGGGUACAGUGUUCUUCUGUCAGAUGUCGAUAUUGUGUACUUGCAAGACCCCUUUAAUUAUCUAUAUCAUGAUUCAGAUGUAGAGUCCAUGACUGCUUAUGGUUACAAUGACGGCUUUGAUGAGCCAGGAAUGGGUUGGGCUCGAUAUGCUCAUACAAUGCGUAUAUGGGUGUAUAACUCUGGUUUCUUCUACAUUCGACCGACAAUUCCUUCAAUUGAGCUAUGGGAUCGUGUGGCCAAUCGACUCUCAAAGGAGCAGGCUUGGGACCAGGCAGUGUUCAACCAGGAGAAGUAUGGAUUUCUAUCUCUUUAUGAAUAGCAAGGUCCUCCUCAAGACCGUGAGGAAAGAUGCUAAACUGAGCAAGUUGAAGCCGGUUAUUGUUCACCUUAAUUACCAUCCUGAUAAGCAUCCUAGAAUGUUAGCAAUUAUGGAUUUUUAUGUCAAUGGGAAGCAGGAUGAACUGAAACCUUUCCCUGAUGGUUCAGAGUGGUAGAGAUUAUUCCUGCUAAUCACAGGUACGCUCAGGACAUUUCGAUACUUUGUGUUAAAAGGAAAUGUAACGUAAAUGUUCGAAAAGCAUACUUUGUGUUCAAAACGAUAUCAAAAGAAUUGUAGGCUUUAAGCUAAUUUUUGUAUGUUUGAAAUUGUUUUGGAAAUUGAAAUCAUCUGGUAUCAUAUUUACGCUUA